Molecule: long non-coding RNA, 466 nt
Organism: Oxyura jamaicensis (ruddy duck)
Lineage: Eukaryota; Metazoa; Chordata; Aves; Anseriformes; Anatidae
Exons: 2
Source: RefSeq, a predicted model, not a curated record
UUCUUUAUGGAGUUACGCAAUUGGUUUCACGGCCAAUCUCAAUCAGAAUAUUUUCUUGGUUUCCUCAUAUUCUCACAUAUUGUAUCAAAUGGUCUGAAGACUUUAACUGAAUCAGUGACUGUUUAUGUGUAUGCUAGCGGUCAUUCCUGCAGAAAUGAAGCCUCAAAUGUAUUUAUCCUUAUGAGACAUGAUACAGAACUCGGUUUAAAGUACUCUAUAGAGUUUUUGUUAGCCAAGAAGCAAGAAAAAAAUAACAUGGAGCUCUUCAAGCACACCUUUAGAAGAUAUCUUGACCAUCUUAUUCUACUGAAGAUCUGAAUCUUUUGUUAAGCACUAGUUCACAGGUAUGUAUUUGCCAAAAAUCAUUAUUAUUGCACUAUAUUUAGUGGUUAACAUGAAAAACAAAUUAUUUUUCCCAUGUGAUGACUUAAAACUCUUUAAAUGUAUUCAGUUAUAAAAUAUACUU